ACUAACUGAUUUUUCUGUCUCUGCAAUGUUUCUUGUGGUUUAACUAGGACAAAAGUAUAGCAUAGUAUCCUUGUUUAGUAAUGAGCACGUGCUGUCUGCAGGCUUUGAAAUAGACACCCCAGAUAAAUUUGGAAGAACGUGCCUUCAUGCUGCUGCUGCAGGAGGUAAUGUGGAAUGUAUAAAACUCUUGCAGAGCAGCGGAGCAGAUUUCCAUAAAAAGGACAAGUGUGGGAGGACCCCUUUGCACUAUGCAGCUGCGAAUUGUCAUUUCCACUGUAUUGAGACAUUAGUGACCACAGGGGCCAACGUUAAUGAAACAGAUGACUGGGGACGCACAGCUUUGCAUUAUGCCGCUGCAUCAGACAUGGAUAGAAAUAAGACUAUCUUAGGAAAUGCCCAUGAAAAUUCAG
Molecule: small RNA, 410 nt
Filed under: Pan troglodytes (chimpanzee)
Lineage: Eukaryota; Metazoa; Chordata; Mammalia; Primates; Hominidae
Also listed under: 1 other name
Description: processed transcript
Source: RNAcentral